UACGGGGGGGGCAAGCGUUGUUCGGAAUUACUGGGCGUAAAGGGCGCGUAGGCGGCCUUCUAAGUCGGACGUGAAAUCCCUCGGCUUAACCGAGGAACUGCGUCCGAUACUGAAAGGCUUGAAUCCGGGAGAGGGAUGUGGAAUUCCAGGUGUAGCGGUGAAAUGCGUAGAUAUUGGGAGGAACACCAGUGGCGAAGGCGGCUCACUGGACCGGUACUGACGCUGAAGCGCGAAAGCGUGGGGAGCAAACGGG
Molecule: ribosomal RNA, 253 nt
Filed under: uncultured bacterium
Lineage: Bacteria
Description: partial 16S ribosomal RNA
Rfam family: Bacterial small subunit ribosomal RNA
Source: RNAcentral